UCUAUGAUUCUAUCUAUAUAUAUCUCAUCUCUUAUCUUCUAUUAUAUGUACCCUUGAAGGAUGAAGCUCUAAUUGACCUAACACCCUAGGUGCAGGAAAUUCGUUUUCUUUUUCUUUUCUUUUUUCCCCUUUUUCAAAACAACUCUUCUCUCACCACCCGGAGUGUUCGGCGUUCUCAUGUUGCAAGUCGUUUCGAUGAUUAAAGGGAAAGAAAAAUCAAGUUUAAGGAGCAUUGGCGCAGGCCAUCUUACUUAUGAAAUGGAAAUGGUUAGUUGGGUUAGGGUUGGCUUGCAGUUGCAUAGGGUCCAUUAUUGACAGUCUCUCCAGUCCUCAGACGCCCAUUUCUUUUCCUUGGCAGACGAAUUAAGAAGAGUGUGCCUUGUCAUUGCAUUGGCCUUGAUUCCAUUCUCUAAUAUAUAGAUAUAGCUUUGCUUCCAGGCUCAGGCUCAGGCUCCUGCAUUUGUAGUGUUAAAAUUUUAAUUUCUUCAAGUGGAGUCAGCUGUCAGCCCCCAUCUGAUGAAAUGAAACAAUUUACGAUGCUCUGCAAGACAUGGUAAAGGCUAAAGGCUCCAUGUUGGUACGAUGAGAGCAAGUAGUAAGAGAGCAAUGAAAGCUAGCAGUGUAAGUAAAAUACUAAUAUUGAUGCCUCUUGACUGCUUGUUUCAUGAAAUUUCCAUUUGCAAUUUCAGUGAGACAGUGAAUGGUUUGGUGCACGUGUUGGCAUGUGUAUGUUUGGCCGCUGCACACUGCUGGACUGCUCACACCUCGAAAUUUGACAAUAGCUAGAAGCAUGACCAUCACUAGCCAAUAGCAGAAGCGGUAAAGUUACUUUCUCGCCAUGUUAAGGUUCAAUCCGCUUCGAUUUAAUUUUCCCUCUCCCCAAAUAACUUGAAUUUAAUCUUGGUUUGAUAUGCCUUUUAUCAAUAUCCAUGGUUUUAACAUAAACAAAAUUCUUAUCUUCCAUUUCAAGGAUCCUUUAAUUGGACAUUUUCCAUCGAUAUAAAUUGUGGUUGUGAUGGAUGUUUUAAAUUUAGGCUUAUAGAAACUAUAAGUUGAUAAGAACAUAUGUUCCUUUGACAAAACUCUACAAGAGUAUCUUGAUAAAGAUUUAUCUGUUACUCCUCUUGGACAAAAUAGUGGAAAAUAUCAAUACUCGGAGGAAUACACAUCUUCCAUGAGCAAAGUCUAUUGAAGACACAGCUUUAGAUAUUCCAAAAUCUCUACAAACUUCAUCAAAAUGAAGAAAAUUAAGAUUACUCUAUGUUAUGAAUCAACAGAUAGCAUAUGAUAUACCGAUUGAAAGAUUAAUAUGUUGUCUAUCAAGUUCAAUUGGGGAGAUACUUUGUCUUGAGCAUCGGAGCUGAUGACUCUCAAAAGAUAGAGACAUAGAUGCGAUUGACUGGAUUGAUAGUACAUUAAACUGGACUUAAGAAGAAUAAACCUUGAAUCUGUUUAUGGAUUUAUUCACUUGUGACAUUCAUAGUGUGACAUGCCUAAAUCCUGAGUGGAUGACAGACUAUGUAUGCUCGUACACUUUGAUGUAAGUAAAAAUUUGAUUUCAAAUAGAUAAUAAAGAACUGAAAGCUAGUGUGUUGGGUGACUUUUGCAGUAUGUAGCAUUGUUCACAACAGUGAAAUUCAUAGCUCGGGACAUGGGUAAAUGAUAUUUUCUCAUUGGCAUUACAUGGUUGAUGAAAAGUAAAUGUGGCCACAGAUCGU
Gossypium raimondii (Peruvian cotton) is the source of this 1718-nucleotide long non-coding RNA. RefSeq lists it as uncharacterized. NCBI's taxonomy places the organism in Eukaryota, Viridiplantae, Streptophyta, Magnoliopsida, Malvales, Malvaceae. The record is from RefSeq and is a predicted model, not a curated record. The transcript has 3 exons.